GUUUAAUUGACUCACAGUUCCACAGGUUGUACAAGAGGUGUGACUGGGGAGGCCUCAGGAAGCUUACAAUCAUGGUGGAAGGAUGAAGGGGAAGCAAGCACGUCUUCACAUGGCAGUAGGCGGGAGAGUGAGUGAAGGGAGAAGUGCUACACACUUUCAAACAACCAGAUCUCAUGAAAACUCACUAUCACAAGAACAGCAAAAGGGAAAUCCACCCAUGAUCUAAUCAUCUCCCACCAGCUCCCUCUCGCAACAUUGGGAAUUACAGUUCAACAUGCGAUUUGGUGGGGACACAGAGCCAAACCAUAUCACACCCCAUUCAAAGCUAUGAGAUUAUAAAAUGGUCCUUCUCCUGUCACUCAGCUGACUGUAAAUUCAUGCUGGCACAUCCACACCACGGCAGACAGAAGACACUGCUUGGGAGUUCUGUUCUGUCAUCAACGGAGCUGUGAUGACCGUGGAUGUCACUGGUAGUGGCCAACAUUUCUGCAGCUCCUUCUCAGUUACAUCCUCAACACAAACUCCUCACCAGGUGGCAGAAGUGGAAGAAGCUGAGAUGUGGCUGUGAGUCCUGACUUCACUGCUGUCCAGCGGAAAGAGUCUGAGCAGUCUAAACCCGAGGUUUCGCCAGUGUGAAAUGGGGCUAAUUAUAUAGACAUAUGGGUUUUACAAAGUUUUGAC
RNAcentral lists this long non-coding RNA (681 nucleotides) under Homo sapiens (human). RNAcentral describes it as "non-protein coding lnc-FAM174B-2:11". Lineage: Eukaryota; Metazoa; Chordata; Mammalia; Primates; Hominidae. The record is from RNAcentral.